ACGUAGGGGGCAAGCGUUAUCCGGAAUUAUUGGGCGUAAAGAGUGCGUAGGUGGUUUUUUCCCCUUGAUGCUAAAGGCAAUAGCUUAACUAUUGUAAGCCUUGCGAACUGGAAGACUUGAGUGCAGGAGAGGAAAGUGGAAUUCCUAGUGUAGCGGUGAAAUGCGUAGAUAUUAGGAGGAACACCAGUGGCGAAGGCGACUUUCUGGACGGAAACUGACACUGAGGCACGAAAGCGUGGGGAGCAAACAG
RNAcentral lists this ribosomal RNA (250 nucleotides) under uncultured prokaryote. Its description in RNAcentral is "partial 16S rRNA". It matches the Rfam family "Bacterial small subunit ribosomal RNA", at positions 525 to 775 of the family's 1533-position model. The record is from RNAcentral.